This 497-nucleotide ribosomal RNA is filed under the name uncultured bacterium. RNAcentral's name for it is "partial 16S ribosomal RNA". It matches the Rfam family "Bacterial small subunit ribosomal RNA", at positions 28 to 507 of the family's 1533-position model. The record is from RNAcentral.
GAUGAACGCUGGCGGCGUGCCUAAUACAUGCAAGUCGAGCGAACAGACGAGGAGCUUGCUCCUCUGACGUUAGCGGCGGACGGGUGAGUAACACGUGGAUAACCUACCUAUAAGACUGGGAUAACUUCGGGAAACCGGAGCUAAUACCGGAUAAUAUAUUGAACCGCAUGGUUCAAUAGUGAAAGACGGUUUUGCUGUCACUUAUAGAUGGAUCCGCGCCGCAUUAGCUAGUUGGUAAGGUAACGGCUUACCAAGGCAACGAUGCGUAGCCGACCUGAGAGAGUGAUCGGCCACACUGGAACUGAGACACGGUCCAGACUCCUACGGGAGGCAGCAGUAGGGAAUCUUCCGCAAUGGGCGAAAGCUUGACGGAGCAACGCUGCGUGAGUGAUGAAGGUCUUCGGAUCGUAAAACUCUGUUAUUAGGGAAGAACAAAUGUGUAAGUAACUAUGCACGUCUUGACGGUACCUAAUCAGAAAGCCACGGCUAACUACGUG